Molecule: ribosomal RNA, 274 nt
Filed under: uncultured bacterium
Lineage: Bacteria
Description: partial 16S ribosomal RNA
Rfam family: Bacterial small subunit ribosomal RNA
Source: RNAcentral
AUACGGAGGGUGCAAGCGUUAAUCGGAAUUACUGGGCGUAAAGCGUACGUAGGCGGUCCGUUAAGUUAGAUGUGAAAGCCCCGGGCUUAACCUGGGAACUGCAUUUAAAACUGGCGGACUAGAGUUGAGUAGAGGGGAGUGGAAUUUCAGGUGUAGCGGUGAAAUGCGUAGAGAUCCGAAGGAACACCAGUGGCGAAGGCGACUCCCUGGACUCGAACUGACGCUGAGGUGCGAAAGCGUGGGUAGCAAACGGAAUUAGAUACCCCAGUAGUCC